GCCAUUUUAGCAUUCACUAACUGAAACACUGUAAUAACUUCAAUUAUUAAACAUCACAUCAUUCAGGCAUAUAAUAAUGUGUUGAGCAUUUGAAUAUAUAGUAUCUUUUCGAUUCCACUCAGGCUUCGAGACUCCGAGAUGAAGCAUUAUUGUGUAGCGGGUUUGGGCCUCCAAGAGUUAUACGGGGAUCCUUCCUAUUCCCCUCAAGCCUUCAACGCAUGGAGGAGGAGGUGCUUGAUUAUGUAGCGGGUUUGGGCCUCCAGAAACUGUACGGAGGAUUCUUUCAGUUCCACUCGAUCCUUCAAUGCUUAGAGGAGGAGGUGCUUUAUUAUGUAUUGGGUUUGGGCCUCCAGGAACUGUACGGAGGAUUUUUUGAGUUCCACUCAAGUAUUCAAUGUUUAGAGGAGGAGGUGCUUGAUUAUGUAAUGGGUUUGGGCCUCUAGAAACUGUACGGAGGAUCUUUUCA
RNAcentral lists this long non-coding RNA (466 nucleotides) under Elaeis guineensis (African oil palm). Its description in RNAcentral is "long non-coding RNA (EGUI_LNC081044)". Lineage: Eukaryota; Viridiplantae; Streptophyta; Magnoliopsida; Arecales; Arecaceae. The record is from RNAcentral.